RNAcentral lists this long non-coding RNA (824 nucleotides) under Elaeis guineensis (African oil palm). RNAcentral describes it as "long non-coding RNA (EGUI_LNC019156)". Lineage: Eukaryota; Viridiplantae; Streptophyta; Magnoliopsida; Arecales; Arecaceae. The record is from RNAcentral.
UUUUGAAUGGUGUGGAAUCCAGCAAGGCUCCACCAACCCCUGAGCUAGGGGAGGUCCUUUCCCUAUAAAUUCAGAAGGGCUGUGCUCUCCCUUCAAAAAAAAAACAAAGAGAAGCUCCUCACUCUCCAAAGUACUCUCAGCAAAGAGGACAGGGAGGAAGAAAGAUACGGGAGGGAGAAUGUCCUGCUCCUUUCUCUGCCUCUUCUUCAAGUUCUCUGGGAGGUCGCGCUACAGGGAUGACGAUGUUGAUUGGGAGCCAAGGUACACGAGGAAGAUACGUCUCAGCGACGAGGACCGGGGGCGGUGGGUUGGUGAGCGGGAUGUAGACAAGAAAGCUUCAGAUUUCAUUGCUAGAUUUCAUCAAUCCCGUGCUCUUGUAGCUUGAAAUUUCUAGUACAUUUGUUUUGCUUUCAUCAUUGAAUAGUUGGUUAGCUUGGUGUGGACCAUGUACUUCGUUCCAGAUGACAGACUACCAUGAGAGGAAUAACAUGACAUUCGUUUGUAGUAUAUUUUCGUUCUCGUAUAUUUGGCUUUCAGAUCUCCACAAGACUAGCCUGGAAGUGAAACAAAUACCAUGCUGAGAUCCUGAUUUACUUGAAUACAAUGGUUACCGUUAUGUAUGUGAUGCUUACUGCCAUGAUCUCCUUCAAAGUGGGCUUCAUAUAGAUGCCUUGUUGUUUGUGUGGCAUCAGGCUCGGUCAACUUUGGUUGCCCUUCUGCAUCUAGGGUCAAGGCAGCACUUUUUUUUAUUACUUCUUUGUAAUAAAUUAAUGCGAGUAUUUCUUCAACAUGACAUCAUAGAAGAGCAUAAUUUUCUCGAGCAA